Long non-coding RNA from Oncorhynchus tshawytscha (Chinook salmon), 362 nucleotides. The record is from Ensembl. Lineage: Eukaryota; Metazoa; Chordata; Actinopteri; Salmoniformes; Salmonidae.
GGGGAGGUACGGUGGUCACAUAGUGCUGUGAAGGUACAGGGGAGAAGGUACAGGGGAUGUACGGUGGUCACAUAGUGCUGUGCAGGUACAGGGGAGGUAUGGUGGUCACAUAGUGCUGUGCAGGUACAGGGGAGGUACGGUGGUCACAUAGUGCUGUGCAGGUACAGGGGAGGUAUGGUGGUCACAUAGUGCUGUGCAGGUACAGGGGAGGUAUGGUGGUCACAUAGUGCUGUGCAGGUACAGGGGAGGUAUGGUGGUCACAUAGUGCUGUGCAGGUACAGGGGAGGUAUGGUGGUCACAUAGUGCUGUGCAGGUACAGGGGAGGUAUGGUGGUCACAUAGUGCUGUGCAGGUACAGGGGAG